AUUAGACUACUACUACUAUUAGACUACUACUACUAUUAGACUACUACUACUAUUAGACUACUACUACUACUAUUUAUAAAAUGUAAAAGUGUUUAUCUGCUGUGGAGAUGAAAUAAUGGCCAUUGUUUUUCAUCCACAAUUAUAUCAUAGAUAUUUAUCCAUGGAUUUAAGAAGAAUGUCUGGAUUGGAAUAUAUAAAGAAUACGGAAUCUGGAAGUGGGUUGACAAAACACCGUUUAACACUGCCUAUUGGAUGGAAGGGGAACCAAAUAACAUCCAUGGCGAGUGUGUUGAGAUCUCACAGACGGCAUCAGACCCAUUGAAGAGUUGGAAGGCUGCAACAUGUACCUCAAAUUACUUGGUGUGUGAAAAACCGUUCACACCGUAGUCUAAUUAUAAUAGCUACUGUAACCCCAUAUCUCAUGGAGUUGUUCUGGUUUUCACUGUUAGGCUUAAACUGUUUCUGUUUCUAUGUGUAACUACAUUGAAAGAUGUAUUCAUGUCUUUAAAGACUCCAGAGCUAUGUGCAGUGUGUCCACCAUUCAUCAGGCCCAGGGGAGUGGAACUGUGGUCUUAUAGGCUGUGGUUUAUCAUUCUUUUUCUUUACCAUAUUUACUAUUUUUACCACUAUGGUGUGCACAUAACAAUCUAACAACUGUUUUCAUUUCAAAACUUAUUCAAGUUUUUACAGCUAUCAAUCCAUUUGAAAUGCAGCAGUGUUCUAUGUUUGCUUCCAUUCUGUUCCAUAUGUUCCAUGUGUUCAUUCUACUGAUUAAAUACAUCUAUAUACUGUGA
This is a long non-coding RNA of Oncorhynchus kisutch (coho salmon), 794 nucleotides long. RefSeq lists it as uncharacterized. The record is from RefSeq and is a predicted model, not a curated record. The transcript has 2 exons. NCBI's taxonomy places the organism in Eukaryota, Metazoa, Chordata, Actinopteri, Salmoniformes, Salmonidae.